Long non-coding RNA from Dreissena polymorpha, 697 nucleotides. RefSeq lists it as uncharacterized. Lineage: Eukaryota; Metazoa; Mollusca; Bivalvia; Myida; Dreissenidae. The record is from RefSeq and is a predicted model, not a curated record. The transcript has 5 exons.
CUUUUUGAGAUUAUCGUUCUUGGUGGCGGUGGUAUUUCUGUCGUGUUGCUACAUUGUGCGAUGUAAUUUGCAAAGUCCAUGUAAUGCAACGGUAAAUUGUGCAGAUAAUACCACAGUUUGUGAAACUGAUUUCUGUCAUAUACAGGCCGGUCAAAUAUGCACAGAAGAAACUACAACAACCGUCGCAAUAACUUUAACAACACCUGCCCAAACAAUCACAACCACUAGACCAACCCAGCCAGGUGCAACUUCCCAAUCAUCGAAUACUACUGCGGCACCAACAACAACUACGACAACAACAACUACUACAGCAACAACAACUUCUACGACACCUACAACUACUCGCAAGCGAAAAAAGCGCAGUAAUGGCCUACAGCAGUGUGUUUCAAACGCAAGCUGUGUAUCAGGCAAACAAGCCACACUGGUCUGCGCUUAUAAUGAUGGCUAUACUGCAGAUAAUGGAAAGUGCAACAAAGAUCCUGACAACGGCGCAGGACAUUUGAGAAUGACGAAAUUCUUCAUUGUCAUGGUGACGACAGUGCUGCUGUUACUCAUCUAGAAAACCCUUCAGUGCUGCAGUGGUCAAUUGACUUGUCGGACGAUUGUCUGCCGUUUGUAAAUAACUCUAUAUCUUUAGGAUUUGUCGUGGAAAAAAAAUAUUUGUAAAAAAUUAAAUCUAAACCAGUCGUGUACUGUA